Molecule: long non-coding RNA, 799 nt
Organism: Daphnia pulicaria
Lineage: Eukaryota; Metazoa; Arthropoda; Branchiopoda; Diplostraca; Daphniidae
Exons: 3
Source: RefSeq, a predicted model, not a curated record
GGUUCGCAAUUAUGGUCAAAUAUGGCGUCGUGCUCCUUUUGGGUGUUGUAUCGUUGAUGGCUGGGUCGACCGCUGGUGUAGUGAAGUCUCCUUGGUAAGGCGGAAACCAAAACGCAACGCCGCCGCCGCCUUCCUACACAACUUAGACAACGACCAGUUCCUGCACCGAGGUCUUCAAGUACUACACCACUAAAGCACCGGAGUUUUAUACCACAACUUACUCUGCCCCGAGCCACUACACUGACUCCCUGAAGUAUUACUCUGCCUCGAGUUACUACACCACCAAGACGACGGAGCAGGACUACGCAUGCUGCCCCAUUUUACUACAUCAAGGUUCCCAGCUGCUACACCAAGGCUCCCGCAGAUUACUCCACCAAAACGGUCGAAUACUACACCGAAGCGGCAAAGUACUUCUCUGCCCUGAUCUUCACAACCACAACUGAGGCGGCCAAGAAUGACGCAGUUCCGACUUGCUACACCGAAGCUGCUCUUUCGUGCUACGUUGAACUGAAAUACUACACUGACGCUGCUGCCUACUUCACCACGACCCACGCUACACCUAGCUACAACACGGCAGCCCCCAAGUACUACACCGAAGAAGCCGCCUUUUACACAACCACGUAAGCUGCCUAGUUUACUACAUCGAGGAAUUUAAGUAUUACCCUGCUCCAAACUACUACCAAACUGAGGUUCAUAUUUAUUGCAAUUCUCCCGAUUAUGCCACCACUACUUACGCUACUCCGACCUAUACACCGAAGUUCUGAAGUAUUUCUCUGGAUGUGUUGAAAGAUUACUGAAA